UUUUUGUUAUUUUCCAUUUUGCUUGAUGUAAACCUUUUAAUCGAUAAAUACCUGCAAUAAACAUAAAAUAUUGCGUAAUAAUAAGUGUUAAUCAAGUAAAAAGCAAUGCAUAUGGAGUCAAAAUUACGACACAUUUUUGCGUUAUCAAACUCCCUCAUACUUAAACCUUUGCUUGUCCUCAAGCAAAUGCCGCGUAUAUGAAAAAAGUUUUGUAAAAUAUUUGCAGCAUACAUUAUCAAGACUCGUAGAAGACACAGUUGCAUUCGGAUACUCAUUCUAGUCUAUAAACUUUACUUUGGUUCAAAAUUAUAUUAACAGGUACUCACUUCCACACUAAGGGUAUCGUUGGAACACAUAGUCGCAUUAUUACAACCAUAAGUUUCCCUCCUAUACAAACCAAUCUGAAUCAUGUUGUCAUGCCUAAGCCUACCUUACUAAACCUUCUUUUUAUCCUUUUUCAUUCUGGCGCAAUCACAUUAAGCACGUUAUCAUUUCACAUUCAUAACAAGAUAAUCUGUUAGUGACUAUGAUCUCAUCAUUAUUUCUUUCUUUCUUUUUCGCACUUUGGCUCAAAUAACAGUUAAAGAUGGUUAUACAGUUGGGCUAAAUGACUGGGCGAGGAUCACAUAACUUAGAGGUAAUAACAUUUUUCAUACAUUUCGUAAUCUUUUCUUCUUUCAAGCCUGAAAUCAUACACUUAUUUGCAUCGUCUUCUUUCGUAGUGUAUGCUUAGGAUGGUGUUGACUGCUAGAUAAACUACUUAAGGAAAUACUAAAGGAUAGAAUUUAAGGUAUGACAUGACAAGUACUCAAAUCGAUCUUAUACUUGGGAGAUUUAAGGUGUUAGAAUGAUACCGAUCUUAUAAAGUUUUUCCAAAUCUCUACAAUUCAACCUUAGUUUUAUUCAUAGUUUAGAACUUUCAAAAGAUGUACUGUAUCUCUAAGUCUAGAUUUUUGAGAAAAACUUUGUAUGGCUUAAGCAAAUAGGAGAAUUAGUAAAUAACGGAAACCACACAUAAAGACUCGACAUCACAUUGAUAUUUAACUCGACUGACACUUUAACAAAAAUAACAAAAGGAAAUAACAAUAACAAUAAUUUAAAUCUACCUAGAAAGCGAUAAAUAAAAGCGGUAAAGCUUCAUCCCCCAUAUUUAAACCUUGCAUUGUCCCCAAUGCAAUGACAUAAGAUAGGAAAUAAAGAUAGAACCUAGGUAUCCUGCUACUGGGGCCUUCUACUACGUGUACGUGCACGUCCACUGUUUCCUGGCUGGUGAGGUGGCGUGUAGUUUUGGAGAUCUUCCACACGCAUUGUCAAUGUUGCCAUUUCAUCGAUCAAGCCAGACAUGUUUUGUUCGGUUCUGAAAGCAUAGUCGUGUUGAUCAUGCUGCAUUUGGCGAAGGAUUUGCAUCAUUUUAGUUUGCUGAGCUUCCAUGUUUUGGAUUUGUAGGUCUCGCUGAGCGUCUAAUUCGCUACGCCGCAGUAGUUCAGCAUAGAUCUCAUCAAGAGUGGUUGGUGCCGCAUUUCUUCUUGGUCUUUGACUGGAGGAUAUACCUGCAACAUUUUCAAAUAACAUGUGUGUGGUGUGUGGGUCAGUAGCGGGAGCAGUUUGCUCUAGAAUGUGAUCCUCAUCGGUGUCCCCGCCAGCAACUACAUUCUUAGGAAUGUGUGCGGGGACUUGGUUAGGCACCGGAUCAUUAGUAUAACAAUAAUUAUCCGGGUUUUGCACAUCUGUGCGAUUUGGAUUUGGGAGGAUAAAAUCUUGUAACACAUUAUUUGCAAUUAUUAAAUUGAAUUUACCGUCACUUUUUCGUUUUACUAGUUUCAUGCUCCUUGCCAUGUCAAUGUCAAUGUCAAUGGCAUGAUGCGGGAGUGGGGUUUGCCUGGAGAAUUUUUCUUCGAGUCCUAGGACUCUAGCUAUGGAGGUUAUUAAACCUCCAAAAAUAAUCGCCCGUCACUUCGCAUUGACAAUGGCCUGUAUGUGAGAUAGCAUAAAAGGGACGGUAUUCACCUUUUUGUGGCAAAAAUGUGGCGAAUAAAUAAAAGAGUUCUUUUUCAUUCACCUUGUUAGAAUUUGCUCAGCCAAAAAUGGUGGACGCCAAUAUUUGGCGGAAAAAUCGAAUAGUUGGGUUGUGAAUUAAAGUGGCUCUGUUUCCCUCAAAGCUAUGGUUACUGUACCAGUUAUUACCCUCCAAAAUUGUUGGAAGGCGUGUUGCCAACCCUCAAUAUCUGGGACCUCACUUACUACUUCAUCCCCAUGGAGAAAUUGUAGCAGGUCCACAAGUUGGGAAAAUGUAAAAGCAUAUUCUAUGUUGAACAAGCGAAACUGGACAGUCCCACUGGAACAGUUUGUGUUGGGUGUGAGACUAAAAAUUAACGAACUUAGAAAUUCUAGUGUUAAUUGAGCAUAGACAGGGUCCUUAAAAGAUAGGAAAUGAUUUAAAUUUAAAGUGUCUAGCAUAUAGUUAACACUAUCUAAAAUUCCUAAGGCAAAUAAGCAGGGUUCAUCAGCAUACCUUGUUGAUUCAAUUUUUCUUGUGCUCAGAGUCGUGUAUGUCUCUUCUUGCAAUUCACCUGGUUCGCCGUUUCUGAACACUAUUUUGUAUUCCCUCAUCUGUGUCAUGACUAAAUUUCAUAGUACUCGUGUAAUGUAGUAACAAUAUAGCAAGAGAGAGGAUAUUUAUGCUAAUGAGAGGUGUGGUUUUGUGAAAUUAUGUUGGUGGUUUAUAUAGAGAUUGUUGUGGUUGGGAAUUGAUGAAUGAAAUAAAUUUUAUUUAUGGUCUUCAAUGCCAUGUGUCGCACCUCAAAAAUGAUGAUAAUGCGAUCCCUCGCGAUGGGACGCGGAAAAAAUUGUUCGAAACAGAGUCGCCACCGAACUUUAUUCAUUCCAAUGAAGGAAUAGGAAAAUAUCGAGAAACCUUUAAAAUAAGAAUAAUGGUCGUCGCAACCAUAUUCGGGUUCGGGAGUCGAUUACGCAAGGGAAGGUAUUAGCACCCCUUACGUCCGUUGUACUCAACGGGAACCUCUUAGUCUGAUUUUGCUAUUUGACUGUUAAUUGACUGUUUAUCUGGCUUGCUUCGAGUGAUUAGAAUUGAUGAUAGAUAUGGGUGAAGACCUCAGGAGGGGGAAAUGGGAGGUUUUUUAUUAGUGUGCUCGCGAAGAUACAGCAAUCUCCUGCCUACGUAUCCUUAUAGUGCAAUAAGGAAAUCAGAGCAAUCGUAGUUCGGGCAACUACGAUUUUGGGUGUGUUUUGUUUGGAUGAACGACUGUGUAGGUCGGCGUUCUAAAGGCUAAACGCUGGCUUGUCUACUCUCGGGGGAGGCUCUAGCACUGGUUUGUUGUGCGCAUUAGAAAGGAUUGACAGUGUUCUUUUGGCAGGGUUUUGGUCACGCGGGGGUGACAAGUUGAAUUGAUGUGUUUGGUGUUUUGGUUUGGUUUCGAUCGCUCGGGGGCGAGAAGUUAGGUUUAAUUUGUUGGAGGUGUUUUUGGAGAACGACGAAAGGUUGAGCAAUGUGGUGUACACCAAUCGUUCAAUUCUCUCGAGGAGUAAUAAGGCGAACGCCUUUUAUUCCUUUUUCGUUCGAAUUAUUUUAAAGUUUGUGUGUGCUGAAUACGCACGGUACGUGAGGCGUACGCCCCCUACUUGCUUAUUCAAGGAAUAACGAGGCGUACGCCACCUAUUCCCUUAUCCAAGUUUAUUUAGCAUGUUUUAAUCGGAAGUCGAUAAUUUGUGCAAUAUGGCGUUCGCCAAUUAUCCAAAUAAUCGAGAGAUGGUGAGGCGUACGCCUCCCCUCUUUUAUCAUCCGAGGUUUAAAUUGUAAAAGAUAUGUUUUAGAUAUCGGAUUGGUAGGUUUUGAUCGAAAGAUGAUUUGAGUUUAUUCGAUUGUGGUUUUGAAUUGAUGACGAAAAUCCGAGCAAUGAGGCGUACGCCAAUUAUUCGAAUAAUCGAGAGAUAAUGAAGCGGAUGCUCACUAUUCUCCUUUUCAUCUGAAAUAUGGAAUUAAAAGGAUUUGGAAUUUGUAAAAAUGCUUUGAAAUAUUAUAAUUUGAAAUUUAAUUGGGUGACAAGAACUCGCGCAAUAUGGCGUACGCCAAUUGUUCAAGUGCUUGAGAAAUAGUGAAGCGUACGCUUACUAUCUCCUUUUCAUCCCAUGCAUAUGUUUGAAAGAUUCUUUUUGAAAUUGAAUUGGUUUGGGAGAAUGGUUUGAAUAAUUUGAAUUUGGAAAGUGAUUUGAAAUUGUGUAAUUUGAAGUGAAGGUUGAAGUUUUUAGGAAUGACUUGAAAAUGUGUGAUUAUUUUUAAUCGGAUGACAAAAACUCGUGCAAUAUGGCGUACGCCAAUUAUUCGAGUUCUUGAGAAAUAGUGAAGCGUACGCUUCCUAUUUCCUUUUCAUCCCAAAUUUUGUUUAAAACGGAAAAUAGUUUUGAAAUUGAAUGGUUUUUGGAGAAAAUGAUUUGAAAAUGAUUAUGAAUUGACAAGAUUGGAAUGAAUUCGAGUUUGGAAGAGGUUAACAUCAUGAUAAAAUAAUUUAAUCAAUAUUUAAUUGACAAAGGUAUUUGACUAACAUUUAGACAAACUACCUAAUUGACCCAAUCAAAAUCCCAAAUCAAAAUCACUUGAUUAACUAUAAUUUCCAUGGUAGUCAACCGUCACAACCAAAUAAUUUAAACAAACUUUGAAUUAAUCAAUCAAUUUAAUUAACACAAAUUUGAUUUAGAAGUGUCUAAAACAAAGCGGACACAAUGUGCUCAACAUAUCAAAAAUCUCGUACUUGUGAAUCAAAAUUCCAACUUCAUCAUAAUUAAAUCGAAAUCUCAUAGAAAACACCAUGGUUAUGUACACUACCUAUUUACUGCAUGUUAACAACAAUGACUUACAUAUACACUAUAAAAUCCCUUAGGCAAUUGAUAAUCCAAUUUAAAUUUUAGCCAUAAAACAAACAUACAUUUGAGAAAAUCGUGGUAAACCAAUCAUGAGAUUAUUUAGAAUUCUGAUCAUGCCGUGGGCUAAUAACUCAUCUGCACCAACAAUAGUGAUCCAUCCACAAACUAAUCUAAUAAUUCAAAAGCAUAAUUUUAAUACAGUUCCCACUUGAAAUAUCUUCCCAAAUACAAUCCAAACUGAAACUCGCAUAAGUUGUGUAUAAGCAAACACGUUGGUAUUCAUAAUCCAAACCUCAAUUCAAAUGAAAAAUGAACAAGAUACUACAAGCAACUAUAAACUCCACAGGCAAUACAAAACAAAUCCUUUUGAUAUAGCUAAAACAAGUCAUAAUCAAGAGUUGAAUAUGUACAAUAAAAAUGGUAUCAAAGUAUGUCACCGCAAAUUGUGAUUAUAUACAGGGCUGUUGUAGUAUCAACACAAAACGAAACAGUAACGACACAGAGUAACAAUGUUCAUGGAAAAAAUUUACAAUCCUCAACAAAAUUUUCAGCAUACAAUAUGUUGAUACCAUCUACCACCAGAACGAAUCGGGAGGUAAAAAUCACAAACACACACAUCAUCCAGAGAUGUCAAAUACUGUCAUGAAAUAUUCACAAUUCUAAAAUAAGCUUAAAUCGAAUCUGUUACCGUACAGACGGAUAGUCGUCGAGAGCUUACUUCAGGAGUACAUCAUCAGCAACAGCCUGAGAUCUUCCACCCAAUCCUCGUAUCCAUGGUGUUUCAAUAAUCUGCCCGACUUGCUUUGUGGUUGUUGCGGAAGAAGAGGAAUUAGCGCGACUUGAAACCGUUUCCAGAAUCACAAGAAAAUCCUUUUGAAGCUGUCAACGGAAGCAAGCCGUACUCGUCGCCGGUGUUGGACCCAUGGCUCUAAAGCUCACAAACUUUCCCUGAAAAACAGAAAAUUACCAACAGCAUAACAUUUUCAACCAAUCAGUUUAAACAAAUUUUUUUAGAAAUGGUUGAGAGGUGGUGGAUUCGCAGGGGAUCGGUGUUUUGUGGUUGAAGGUGAGGAGUGGGCGGCGGUAGUUUAGGGUUGAAGGGUUAACGGCGCACGGUAGGGGUUUGGUACGGAAGUGGAAAGGGGCAUUGGGGGUUUUCUUUGAGGGUCGCUGGGUUGUUGAAUGGGUGACGGCGAGGAUUUCGAUUAGUGGCGGUGAGGGUUUGCUGAGAUUGAAGCGGCGGCUAGGUUUCGUGGGUUGGAGGAUGAUGAAGAUGGACGGUGAGGUUAGGGCGAUUUCCGGUGGGUGAAAGGGGUUGAGCGCGGUGGCUUGAGGGUGAUCGGAAACGGAGUUGGCCGAUGGAGGAUUUGGAUUUUGUGGAGAGGAGAUUGUGAGAGUGAGGUGAGCGAGUAGUGAAUUUUUCUGAGGGAAGAGGGAAAGGUUAGCGUGAGAGAGUCGUGAGAGAGGCCCCCUUUGCAGAGUGAAUAGUGAAUCCCCUUUAUCUAUUUCUUUUUUUUGUCUUUUUCUUUUCCUUCGUACAGCAGAGAGAGAGCGGAGGUAGUUGUAGUGGAAUAGGGAGUUUGUUAAGAGUGGAGCAGAGAAGGAGGUAGUGGUUUUUGAAUUUUGUUACUGAGUGAAUAAAAUUUUU
Molecule: long non-coding RNA, 6526 nt
Filed under: Lathyrus oleraceus (garden pea)
Lineage: Eukaryota; Viridiplantae; Streptophyta; Magnoliopsida; Fabales; Fabaceae
Description: Pisum sativum (pea) long non-coding RNA (PSAT_LNC029888)
Source: RNAcentral